GAUGAACGCUGGCGGCGUGCCUAAUACAUGCAAGUCGAGCGAACAGACAAUGAGCUUGCUCCUCUAACGUUAGCGGCUGACGGGUGAGUAACACGUGGAUCACCUACCUAUAUUUCUUGGAUAACUUCGUAAAACCGCAUCUAAUACCGGAUCAUAUAUUGUACCGCAUGAAUCAAUAGUGAAUGACAGCUUUCCUGUCACUUCUAGCUGGUUCCGCGCCGCAUUAUCUAGUUGGUAAGGUAACGGCUUACCAAGGCAACGAUGCGUAUCCGACCUGCGAGGGUGAUCGGCCACACUGGAACUGAGACACGGUCCAGACUCCUACGGGAGGCAGCAGUAGGGAAUCUUCGACAAUGGGCGCAAGCCUGACGCAGCAAUGCCGCGUGAGUGAUGAAGGUCUUCGGAUCGUAAAACUCUGUUAUUAGGGAAGAAAAGCUGUGGAAGUAUAUAUGGCCGUUUUGACGGUACCCAAUCAGAAAGCAACGGCUAACUACGUG
This 497-nucleotide ribosomal RNA is filed under the name uncultured bacterium. RNAcentral describes it as "partial 16S ribosomal RNA". It matches the Rfam family "Bacterial small subunit ribosomal RNA", at positions 28 to 507 of the family's 1533-position model. The record is from RNAcentral.